RNAcentral lists this ribosomal RNA (411 nucleotides) under uncultured bacterium. RNAcentral's name for it is "bacterial SSU rRNA". It matches the Rfam family "Bacterial small subunit ribosomal RNA", at positions 509 to 916 of the family's 1533-position model. The record is from RNAcentral.
CAGCAGCCGCGGUAAUACGUAGGGGGCGAGCGUUGUCCGGAUUUAUUGGGCGUAAAGAGCUCGUAGGCGGUUUGGCAAGUCGGGUGUGAAAACUCCGGGCUCAACUCGGAGACGCCACUCGAUACUGCCAUGACUCGAGUCCGGUAGGGGAGUGCGGAAUUCCUGGUGUAGCGGUGAAAUGCGCAGAUAUCAGGAGGAACACCGGUGGCGAAGGCGGCACUCUGGGCCGGUACUGACGCUGAGGAGCGAAAGCGUGGGGAGCGAACAGGAUUAGAUACCCUGGUAGUCCACGCCGUAAACGUUGGGCACUAGGUGUGGGGCUCGAUCGACGGGCUCCGUGCCGUAGCUAACGCAUUAAGUGCCCCGCCUGGGAAGUACGGCCGCAAGGCUAAAACUCAAAGGAAUUGACGG